GCUAAAGUUGGGGGAGGGCAUCUUAGGCCAGAAGAAUAACAAGACACCAGUGGUGGAAAUGGAAAACAUGUAGUGAAGAUAGCACAUGGAGCCUGAACGGGGAAGUCUUACAAGACAGGGUUGGAAUGCAAUGGUGCGAUCUCAGCUCAACGCGACCUCUGCCUCCCGGGUUCAAGCGAUUCUCCUGCCUCAGCCUCCCGAGUAGCUGGGACCACAGACCAGAGUGAAGACAAAUGUGUAUUACUUGGUAGCUUAUGAACAGCAAGGAAAAACUGACUGGCAACCGCCAUGGAAAGGUGUGAAACCGUAACCACGAGGACUCUCACAUUUACAUGUUACUGACUAGCGAAUGUCUAGGCCUAAAACAUCUGCCCUCUUAUAGCUGUUUUAUUAUUAUGUAAACAUGGCUACAAGAUUUCUGACAUAAAAUAGUAGAUGACUCAGUGUCUUCAAAUGAUUAAUUGCUGGUUUUUUUGCCUGACCUCUUUCUUCAUUUCUUCAAUAAUAAAUCUAUUGUCAUGC
This 522-nucleotide long non-coding RNA is filed under the name Homo sapiens (human). Its description in RNAcentral is "non-protein coding lnc-TBL1XR1-1:1". The record is from RNAcentral. Lineage: Eukaryota; Metazoa; Chordata; Mammalia; Primates; Hominidae.